AGGACGAACGCUGGCGGCGUGCUUAACACAUGCAAGUCGAGCGCGUGUAGCAAUACACGAGCGGCAGACGGGAGAGUAACACGUGGGAACGCGCCCUUCGGUUCGGAAUAACUCAGGGAAACUUGAGCUAAUACCGGAUACGCCCUUACGGGGAAAGAUUUAUUGCCGAAGGAACGGCCCGCGUCCGAUUAGCUAGUUGGUGAGGUAACGGCUCACCAAGGCGACGAUCGGUAGCUGGUCUGAGAGGAUGACCAGCCUCACUGGGACUGAGACACGGCCCAGACUCCUACGGGAGGCAGCAGUGGGGAAUAUUGGACAAUGGGCGCAAGCCUGAUCCAGCCAUGCCGCGUGGAUGAUGAAGGCCUUAGGGUUGUAAAGUCCUUUUAACGGGGAAGAUAAUGACGGUACCGUAGAAUAAGCCCGGCUAACUUCGUGCCAGCAGCCGC
Molecule: ribosomal RNA, 446 nt
Filed under: uncultured bacterium
Lineage: Bacteria
Description: SSU rRNA
Rfam family: Bacterial small subunit ribosomal RNA
Source: RNAcentral